This 393-nucleotide ribosomal RNA is filed under the name uncultured bacterium. RNAcentral's name for it is "partial 16S ribosomal RNA". It matches the Rfam family "Bacterial small subunit ribosomal RNA", at positions 523 to 918 of the family's 1533-position model. The record is from RNAcentral.
AUACGGAGGAUGCGAGCGUUAUCCGGAUUUAUUGGGUUUAAAGGGAGCGUAGGUGGGAUAUUAAGUCAGCUGUGAAAGUUUGGGGCUCAACCUUAAAAUUGCAGUUGAUACUGGUUUCCUUGAGUACGGUACAGGUGGGCGGAAUUCGUGGUGUAGCGGUGCAAUGCUUAGAUAUCACGAAGAACUCCGAUCGCGAAGGCAGCUCACCGGGCCGGAACUGACACUGAUGCUCGAAAGUGCGGGUAUCAAACAGGAUUAGAUACCCUGGUAGUCCGCACAGUAAACGAUGAAUACUCGCUGUUUGCGAUACACUGUAAGCGGCCAAGCGAAAGCGUUAAGUAUUCCACCCGGGGAGUACGCCGGCAACGGUGAAACUCAAAGGAAUUGACGGGG